GGGGGGAACUGUUGGCUCUUCUUGUUUUUUUCCUGAAAUCCAGCUCACGGUCUCCCAAGGGCACCCUUUCUGCAGCCAUGAGGGCCGAGGCUGCUUCUCUGAAAAUGAUUUUAAACACGCUCAAGCAGAAUGAUGAAGCCACUGGUCCCUCCGCUGUUUCAUUCCCAUCCUCAGCAGAAGACCCGUCAAUUCAUGCCAAGGUGACCUCUAACCAGCCACUGGCAAGACCCACUCUCUCUAGUCCACCAUGGGACCGCCCAAGUCUUUCUUUUUUAUGCUAUUUCUUCUCUUUCUUUUUAGGGCGGCACCUGCGGCAUAUGGAAGUUCCUGGGCUUGGGGUUGAACUGGAGCUGCAGGUGCCAGCCUACCCCACAGCCACAGCAACACCAGACCCAAGCUGCCCCUUUGACCUACACCACAGCCUAUGGCAACGCCAGAUCCUUAACCCACUGAGUGACGCCAGGGAUCGAACCCACAUCCUUAUGGACACUUUGUCAGGUUCUUAACCCCCUGAGCCACGGGGGAACUCCCAAUGUUCUUGCAUUCAAACUUUCUCAAUCAAGUACAUUUUUUCUUUCCCCUCUUCUCUCCUGUGUUUCCUCUUCCCCCCUUUCUGUAACACUGCCCCUCCGUGAGCUAACAUUUCCCUGUAAGAAAAAUCUACUUCAGUUAGCAUUUUUUCUCCUCCCAGUGUUACUGAGAUAUAAUUGAUACACAGCACUGAGUAAACUUAAGGAGUACAGCACAUAAAAUGAAGUCCACGGGAGGUUUUUCUUUUUUUCCUUUUUUGUCUCGCCUUUGGCAUGGGGAUAUUUCCCAGCCAGGGCUCAAACCCGCACCACAGCAGAGACCUGAGCCACUGCCUUGGCAAUGCCAGAUCCUUAACCCACGGCACAGUGAGGGAGCACCCACAAUAGGUUUGGUGAACAUUCAUCAUCUCAUAUCAAUACAAAAUUAAGGAUAAAUAGAAAAAAAAUGGUCUCCUUGUGUGGAGAAUUCUUAGGAUUUCCUCUCUUAAGAAGGUUAUUUUUAGGGCCGCACCUGCGGCAUACGGAGGUUCCCAGGCUGGGAGUUGCAUCAGAGCUGCAGCCGCCGACCCACCCCACAGCCACGGCAACGUGGGAUCCGAGCUGCGUCUAUGACCUACACCACAGCUCACAGCAAUGCCGCCUCCUUCACCGGCUGAGCGAGGCCAGGGAUGGAACCUGCAUCCUCUGGGAUGCUAGUCAGGUGUGUUACCAUGGCGACACGACGGGGACCUCCCUCCCCCCCCACAGAACAAUGUUCAUGAGUCUUAUCAUGUUGUACAUCACGUCCCUUGGGCCUUCUUUAUCUUACCUAUAAAAGUUUGUCCCUUUCCGCUGCCUCCCCCACCGCCCGCCUCGGGAACCACACACCUGACCUCUUCUUCUAGGAGUCUGUUCGCUUCUGCAGCAUAACUGGUCUCCACCCCUGUGUUAGGUCUUGGCACACGGCAUCAUGAUUCGAUCCUUGUAGACAUUUCAGAGUGCUCCCCGUGACCCGUCGGGGGACCCUCUGCAAUCGUGCCGAGCUAUUACCUCGUCAUGGACUAUAUUCCUUAUGCUUUCCAAACCCCUGACGCAUUCGCUUGGUGACUGACAUGUUUCUCAGUUUUCAGGUCUGCACCCACCUGCCAUUGGUUAAAUACUGACGGUCUGUCAUACGCAUGUCCCCAUACGAUAGACUAUGCUAACUGUGUUGCCUAUUUGAGCGUGUUCAUGAGUGCAUGCAUUUUCUACGUCCUGAUACCAACGCGAGCAGACGGCCAGAAUUAUUCCAACCUGCACAUGCUAAAAUGUUUAGCCGCAGACUCCUUCUAAUAUCAUGGGGAAGCCAUGAAUACAGUUGAGGGCACAGCCAUCAAAAGGACCCUGUGAGUGGUUCCUGUAUGAUGCGACCAGGGAGAGUGGCACCCAGGGAGAGUUGGGGGAAGCCAUGUCCCAUCCUCAAAUUAGACCAGUUCUUUGUUUAUGUCUUUAUUUUCUUUUUAAGGCCACACCUGCAGCACAUGGACGUUCCCAGGCUAGCAGGUGCAUCAGAGCGGUAGCUGCCGGCUGACACCACAGCCACAGCCACGCGGGAUCCGAGCCGCAUCCGUGACCAACACCUCAGUGCAUGGCAACGCCGGGUCUUGACGCACUGCGCCAGGCCAGGGAUCAAACCUGCAUCCUCACGGAUACUAGCUGGGAUCGUUAUUGCCAAGCCACAACGGGAACUCCCAAUUUUGCUUUUAGAGUGUACUUGUGUUGACGUGUCGCUUUGCAGCUUGAAAAAUAGAGUCUAAUUCAAUUAGGCCAAGGGAACGGAAGGUUUUUGAUCCCUGCUGUCUUUGACGUUCCCUCAAGUGGUGUUUGUUCUCCAGCUGAAGAAACAUCUUCUAAAGUGGACCCGGCAUGUCACGUUUGGUUCUGCCCCCGGAGCCCCCCUGGUGGUGCUCUUUGUAUUUCAAAUCUAACCAAGGUUGGGGAAGAAACCUCAUCACUGUCUGUUUUUCUUAUGUUGAAAGAAACAAGAGGGGUGGCAGAUCCUUCCAAAAGCCAGUUUGAAUUUCCUAUGCGACACAAUGCAGCCAUGGGCCAGCUUCCGUUACAAGGCUGAGCAGCCCGGGUGUCAGGACAACAGAGGGGCAGCCAGAGAUGCAUGUGGUGUAAGCCCAACUUUGUGAUGUCGCCUUACUUCCCGUGUAGCCCCUCACGCCCAGGGGUCCAGUGUCCUCACCCCCAGAAGCUGGAGACAGCAAAUGUGUGUCCUUCUAAAGCUUCUGAGUCUGUGAUGUUUUGUUAUACAGGCGCGGUUGGCUAAUACCAGCCAGAAGCCACCGAUUCAGCCAGAACCAGACACCAGCGUGAGAAAUCAGGGGCUGCCCCAUGGAGCUCCCAUUGACGCCCAUCGGAAACAAAUCCGACGAAUGUCCACAAGGAUGUGGGUUCGAUCCCUGGCCUCGCUCAGGUGGGCUAAGGAUCUGGUGUUGCCCUGAGCUGUGGUGUAGGUCACAGAUGGGGCUCGGAUCCCGAGUUCCUGCGUCUGGGGUGCAGGCCAGCAGCUGUAGCUCUGCUUUGACCCCUUGCCUGGGAGCCUCCACAUGCUGCAUUUCCACUUUGAAUCCAAGCUUCUCUCUCACACCAGCAAAACCUAGGAGCUAUCUAAGCACCAGAGUUUACACAUGGUUCACUAGCCCAUGUUCUAAGACGUCACUGUCAGGAAAAACCAUUUGGAUGCAUGUCAGAAUAAGCUGGAUAACGGCAUUUGGGGGAAAAAAAGAGAAAAAAAAAACAUGACCUGAAAUAACCCCUAAACAUUUCUUUUUCUUUUUUUAAAGAAUGGAAUGAUUUUAUUUAUUUACUUAUGGGCUGCACCCACAGCACACAGAAAUUCCUGGGCCAGGGAUCAAACCCUCGCCACAGCAAUAACCAGAGUCACAGCAGGGACAAGGCCGGAUCCUUCACCGGCUGAGCCACCAAGGGACUUCGAAACAUUUCUUACCGAAUUCACAUGUGCAUCAGGAAACUUGUAAAUGAAUCAGCUGAAAGCGACGCCAUGAAAAUUCCUGGCACUGUGGUAAUUUUAAAUUGCCCUGUUCAAAUUUUUUUUUAGUCUAAAGACCGUCUCAUUUUCUUUCUUAAGACAGAAUAAGAUCAACAAACCGUAGGAGAAACAGAUGAAUUAUACCGUCAGAAACAAGUGAUGGCAGAAACAAAAAGCCGUGGACUCAAUUCCACGAUACAGCAGCUGCAGGCUUUCUAAUACUGGAGGAGUAGCAUAAAUUUGAUCCUUUAAAGCCACUUAAUCCCCCUCAACUGCAAUCCCAAUUCCUGCUUUGCUGUUUUGUUGUGUUUUAUCAUUCCAUUGUCCUAAAUUGCUUCAGGGAACUAGAAUGUAGCCUGGAUGCUUCAUCCAAUGCAGCUAUAUUCAUCUUCUGAUGACCUUCUCAAUAAAUAAACAUUUUCGUUUUGGAUAAGGGUUCCAGACCACAAUUAUACCUCCCAGCAAGGGCUGUCAUACAAAUUAAUGUCAUCACUAUUUGCUUAAGUUUUAAUUGAGGUAACACUGGUUUAUAACAUUAAAUAAAUUUCAUGUGCACAGCAUGUUUCUGCUUCUGUGUACACGUCAGCCUGCUCACCACUAAAAAUUUAAUUUCUACCAGUCACAAUAUAUCUGGUCCCUCUUGCCCCCUCCCCUCUCAUAACCACUAAGAGGUUCUCUGAAUCUACACGUUUGUUUUUGUUCAGUUUGUUUGUUCCUUUACUUUGGCUUUUUUGGGGGAGGGGUUGCUUCUUUAUUCGUUUUUUAUAUUCUGCAUACGAGUGAAAUUAUGUGGCAUUUUUUUUCUUCGUCUGACUUAUCUCACUCAGUAUAAUGCUCUCAAGGUUCAGGCAUGUUGAAAAUGGCAAGAUCGCAUUCUUUUUCAUGGCUGAGUAAUAUUCCGCAGCAUAUUGUUAUAUAUACACCACAUCUUUAGCCACUUAUCUUUUGCUGGACAUUUAGUUUUCUUCUGCAUCUUGGUUACUGUAAACAGUGCUGCUGCUGUGAAUAUUAGGGGGCACAGAUUUUUUUUCGAAUUGCUGUUUUUCCCUUUGGAUAAAUAGCCAGAAGUGGAAUGGCUGAAUCCAAUGGUAGUUCUAUUUUGAAUUAACUUAACAGUCUCCAUACUGUUUUCCACAGUGGCUGCACCAAUUUACAUUCCCACCAACAAUACACAAGGGCUCCCUUUCUUCCACAUCCUCACCAACACCUGUUAUUUAUUGCCUUUUCGAGUCACCACAAUUUCAAACAUCAAUGGCUUGGGAUGUCGCAUCCUUAGAGGGAAAUUUAGGGGGAAAAUAUCAUGCAUAUCUUCAGGUAUGCAAUUAUUUAGCCAACAUUCACUAAAUGUUUCUUAAUACUAGGCACUGGAUGAGACGUUUUAUUCACUCAAUCGUUUGCUUAAUGGUUCAAGAAUUGUUGGGAGUUCCUGUCGCGGCUGAGCAGAAAUGAAUCUGACUAGCAUCCAUGAGGAGGCAGGUUCGAUCCCUGGUCUCGCUCAGUGGGUUACGCAUCCAGUGUUGUGGUGAGCUGUGGUGUAGGAUGCAGAUGUGGCUUGGAUCCCACGUUGCUGUGGCUGUAGUGUAGCAGAUGCAGCUCUGAUUUGACACCUGGCCUGGGAACUUUAGGUGUG
Molecule: long non-coding RNA, 5176 nt
Filed under: Sus scrofa (pig)
Lineage: Eukaryota; Metazoa; Chordata; Mammalia; Artiodactyla; Suidae
Description: lncRNA (ENSSSCG00050003779.1)
Source: RNAcentral